GAAGUGAGAAUGCCGGUAUGAGUAGCGAAAGACGGGUGAGAAUCCCGUCCACCGAAUAACUAAGGUUUCCUGGGGAAGGCUCGUCCUCCCAGGGUUAGUCGGGACCUAAGGCGAGGCCGAUAGGCGUAGUCGAUGGACAACAGGUUGAUAUUCCUGUACUUCUAUAAAUCGUUUGAGCAAUGGAGGGACGCAGGAGGCUAAGAAAAGCGUACGACUGGAAGUGUACGCCCAAGCAGUGAGUCGGCUGAUGAGUCAAAUGCUUAUCACGGAUGCGACAAGCUGUGACGGGGAGGGAAGUUUAGUACCGAAGUUUCUGAUGUCACACUGCCGAGAAAAGCUUCUAGCAAGAUUUAUAGGACCCGUACCGCAAACCGACACAGGUAGUUGAGGAGAGAAUCCUAAGGUGAGCGAGCGAACUCUCGUUAAGGAACUCGGCAAAAUGACCCCGUAACUUCGGGAGAAGGGGUGCUGACAGAGAUGUCAGCCGCAGUGAAUAGGCCCAGGCGACUGUUUAUCAAAAACACAGGUCUCUGCAAAAUCGAAAGAUGACGUAUAGGGGCUGACGCCUGCCCGGUGCUGGAAGGUUAAGAGGAGAGGUUAGCCGCAAGGCGAAGCUUUGAAUUGAAGCCCCAGUAAACGGCGGCCGUAACUAUAACGGUCCUAAGGUAGCGAAAUUCCUUGUCGGGUAAGUUCCGACCCGCACGAAAGGCGUAACGAUUUGGGCACUGUCUCAACGAUGGACUCGGUGAAAUCAUAGUACCUGUGAAGAUGCAGGUUACCCGCGACAGGACGGAAAGACCCCAUGGAGCUUUACUGUAGUUUGAUAUUGAGUGUUUGUGUCACAUGUACAGGAUAGGUAGGAGCUGAAGAAUCCGGGACGCCAGUUUCGGAGGAGGCAACGGUGGGAUACUACCCUUGUGACAUGACCACUCUAACCCGCACCCCUUACCGGGGUGGGAGACAGUGUCAGACGGGCAGUUUGACUGGGGCGGUCGCCUCCUAAAAUGUAACGGAGGCGCCCAAAGGUUCCCUCAGAAUGGUUGGAAAUCAUUCGUAGAGUGUAAAGGCAGAAGGGAGCUUGACUGCGAGACCUACAAGUCGAGCAGGGACGAAAGUCGGGCUUAGUGAUCCGGUGGUACCGUAUGGAAGGGCCAUCGCUCAACGGAUAAAAGCUACCCUGGGGAUAACAGGCUUAUCUCCCCCAAGAGUCCACAUCGACGGGGAGGUUUGGCACCUCGAUGUCGGCUCAUCGCAUCCUGGGGCUGAAGUCGGUCCCAAG
This 1279-nucleotide ribosomal RNA is filed under the name human oral metagenome. Its description in RNAcentral is "bacterial LSU rRNA". It matches the Rfam family "Bacterial large subunit ribosomal RNA", at positions 1285 to 2569 of the family's 2925-position model. The record is from RNAcentral.